RNAcentral lists this ribosomal RNA (497 nucleotides) under uncultured bacterium. RNAcentral describes it as "partial 16S ribosomal RNA". It matches the Rfam family "Bacterial small subunit ribosomal RNA", at positions 28 to 507 of the family's 1533-position model. The record is from RNAcentral.
GACGAACGCUGGCGGCGUGCCUAAUACAUGCAAGUUGAGCGCUGAAGGUUGGUACUUGUACCAACUGGAUUAGCAGCGAACGGGUGAGUAACGCGUGGGGAAUCUGCCUUUGAGCGGGGGACAACAUUGGGAAACGAAUGCUAAUACCGCAUAAAAACUUUAAACACAAGUUUUAAGAUUGAAAGAUGCAAUUGCAUCACUCAAAGAUGAUCCCGCGUUGUAUUAGCUAGUUGGUGAGGUAAAGGCUCACCAAGGCGAUGAUACAUAGCCGACCUGAGAGGGUGAUCGGCCACAUUGGGACUGAGAAACGGCCCAAACCCCUACGGGAGGCAGCAGUAGGGAAUCUUCGGCAAUGGACGAAAGUCUGACCGAGCAACGCCGCGUGAGUGAAGAAGGUUUUCCGAUCGUAAAACUCCGUUGGUAGAGAAGAAAGUUGGUGAGAGUGGAAAGCUCAUCAAGUGACGGUAACUACCCAGAAAGGGACGGCUAACUACGUG